GGGGCUGGAUUUCCCUUGGAACACCGACAGCCGUGUCAACCAAUGACCGUUCGACAAAACCACAUCCUUCCCACCAAUCACGAACCGGCAGAGGUGGGCCUGAAGUUGCCAUGGUUACUGAGGAUGCGACGGAGUGUUCUCUCGGAAAGCAAACAGGAAGGGAAUUUGUCCUCCGUAUGCUGUGCAGGUAACAGAAGUUGAUCCUCUUCCAGAAGUUACACAGGAAGCGGUCACUCAGCCAGCAGGCGAUGGCCAGGGCCCACCAGAAGACAGAGACCCGUGCCAGCCUGUGAAUCCUGGGAUUGGUGCAACUGAGGGAGGCAAAGACAAAACAGCGCUCUGCUCACAGUCUGCAUGACAUCACUAGAUCCAAGACCCCACCCCGCAAGGAGACCCCUUCAUCAGCCAGCAGCCCCAGUCCUACCUGCGGAGCUCCAGCCCCAGG
This is a non-coding RNA of Lepisosteus oculatus (spotted gar), 445 nucleotides long. Lineage: Eukaryota; Metazoa; Chordata; Actinopteri; Semionotiformes; Lepisosteidae. The record is from RefSeq and is a predicted model, not a curated record.